This 68-nucleotide transfer RNA is filed under the name Bubalus bubalis (water buffalo). RNAcentral describes it as "tRNA-Lys". Lineage: Eukaryota; Metazoa; Chordata; Mammalia; Artiodactyla; Bovidae. The record is from RNAcentral.
CACCAAGAAGCUGUACCAGCACUAGCCUUUUAAGUUAGAGAUAGGGAGCAUUAUACUCUCCUUGGUGG